AUGGUGCUGUCCUUUCCUUCCGCAGUAUCACUCCACCGAAUUCUAAAGAACUCGCUCCUCCUGUCGGAAAACUGUCUGAGAAUUCCUUGGAUCGAAUAUUAACUGCCAUUUGGAAGGUGUAAUGCUGCGCAUGGCUGCAUAUACAGCAUUCAUGUGUUGUGCCUGAUUGAGUUUUUAUUUUUCUUUUGCAAUGUUUGCGCCGAUGUUGUCUCGGUUGCUCAAGGCUCGUGCCAUUUGAUUCAUGUAGUUCCAGCUUGGCGCCACAGUGGUGGUGAGUAAUGGACGCUCCAAUUCUACGAGGAAUUCCUCAGUGUUCGUCGAGGGCUCGGUGGAUGUUUAUGUUGUCUGCGAGCUGAUCAUUGAAUGGAAGUUCAUCACGCGGAAAAGGCUAGGUUUAAACUGAUUGUCCUGUCCUGGCCCAAGGAAAGGAGGUGAACUCCUACAAAUGCCGGUGGUAUACAAGGGAGUGCAAUCUUUGGUGUGAGUACAUUAGUGAUGCCUUAAUCCUAAACUUUCUACAAGGAAUUUAAUCACAUAGCUUGUAUAAAGGGAUUCUACCAAACAAACCUUGGAAAAGGUUUGUUUGGUAGGUUGGUUGGUAGAAAAGAUCUGGUACUUAUCCAUUUCUCCAAUAUUGAUGCCAACAGGUGCAACUGACUGUCAACAGCAGCCCCAUCCAAACUUUACUAAAGGACAGGGAAGAAGCUUUGGACAAACUUGGGGGCAAGAGAUAAGCCACGAUGUGCACAAAAGGGACAGAGGGAACUCUAAUCUAGGUCACUGCAGCUCAACAGGGCGUACAGGCACUAGCUUCCACACUAGAGGGGCUGCCUACUCGUUUGAGCAUGUGCUCACAUAUUCUCAUACGAAAGCUUCCUUAUCGGUAAUAUCUGAAAAUGGGCUAUUCCUGACCUCGUGCGAACUUCCCACAAUAUCUUAUUAGUUCUCUCUCUUUCUCCAAACUCAUGACGGCAGAACAAUCCCUUCUUUCAACCGGCUUGCCCAGUGCUGUGUGGCCUGCAGGUGCAGCUCCUGCGUGCAGUCUCGGUGUCCUUCCUUGCCAUGGAAGCAGAGGCCACUACUAACCUGUGCCGCUGCCCACCAUGGACAGGCUCCCUCCUAACACCCAAAAUACAUUGGAUAGCCAAGGUUGGCCCUACCCCAGCAGAGACAACAACACUCCAGCAGGAGAAACUGUCUGCUGCUGAUGAGACAUUGGAAAGUCUUGCCAGCGAUGCCAUAAACCCGAGUGCAAUGACGGUGCGCCAGACAGCCUGGCGGCAGCAGCCCUACGGCCAACCUGUCGACCCCAUCUUGAGCUGGGUGAUAAGGCCCAACUACCUCCAGCCAGAUGCCUCAAGCAUCUAGCUGCAGCAAGCGAAGUUGUGUUCAGGGACUCGACAUCAUCAACUGAGCAUCACAAUGGUGGUCUUAGCAGCCACCAAGUCUGGUGUCACUCCCCUGACAGUAGUGCUCCAUAACUGCCGAGGCACUGCGAGCUACAGCUGUGCAUUCCACCUCCUCGAGAACAUCUAUCCGCUUUGCUUUGGAGGAGCGCAUCCCUCAACGUUAUGGAGAGGUUCCAGCAGAGGAGCCGGACAUCGAGCAGCUGAGCUAUCCAUCCGAGCCACAGGUGCCUCCAGCCGCAAAACAGGCUCAAGGAAAUGUCUCCAGUGGACCACCAAAACCAAAGAACCUCAGCAACCAGACAACUGGUUGCUGCCGUUGCUCAUAGAUGGCAGCAGCAUUUCUUCAAAGGAAGGAGAGCAGGAACAGAACGAGCGGCGAUGUGCGCAACAGCGCGAAUGA
Ixodes scapularis (black-legged tick) is the source of this 1809-nucleotide long non-coding RNA. RefSeq lists it as uncharacterized. The record is from RefSeq and is a predicted model, not a curated record. The transcript has 5 exons. NCBI's taxonomy places the organism in Eukaryota, Metazoa, Arthropoda, Arachnida, Ixodida, Ixodidae.